GUGGGGAAUCUUCCGCAAUGGACGAAAGUCUGACGGAGCGACGCCGCGUGAGUGAAGAAGGCCUUCGGGUCGUAAAGCUCUGUCAUCAGGGACGAACGGCCGGUGGAGUGGAAAGCCACCGGAUUGACGGUACCUGAGAAGGAAGCCACGGCUAACUACGUGCCAGCAGCCGCGGUAAUACGUAGGUGGCAAGCGUUGUCCGGAAUUAUUGGGCGUAAAGCGCGCGCAGGUGGGAUCUUAAGUCCAUUUUGGAAGUUCGGAGCUCAACUCCGUGAUGGGAUGGAAACUGGGAUUCUUGAGUACCGGAGAGGAAAGCGGAAUUCCCCGUGUAGCGGUGAAAUGCGUAGAUAUGGGGAGGAACACCAGUGGCGAAGGCGGCUUUCUGGACGGUGUCUGACACUGAGGCGCGAAAGCUAGGGGAGCGAACGGGAUUAGAAACCCCUGUAGUCC
RNAcentral lists this ribosomal RNA (450 nucleotides) under uncultured bacterium. RNAcentral describes it as "partial 16S ribosomal RNA". It matches the Rfam family "Bacterial small subunit ribosomal RNA", at positions 354 to 796 of the family's 1533-position model. The record is from RNAcentral.